AAACGCCCCAUCCUCGCCCUAGUAAAAGGGGAAGAGUCCCGAACGUGUACGAGGAGGAAAGCCUAAUUUGAAUCCGGUGCAUGCACACAGAUACACCCAGUUUUCGUGACAUGUUUUUACUUUAUUUUGCCACAGGAGUUUGAGAAAAUGUGAGCUGGUUUGUGGGUAGAAAAACAAAAACAACGAGAGGAUUGACGCGUUGGUUUGGGAAAAAAAAAAAAAUAGUGAGCAUGGAGGAUCCCCAGGGUUCAACACUCCCAAUAACACCAGAGGAAGUCAGAUUUCAAUGAGCUUAAAUAAGCUCCAGCAUAUAUUUGAAUGAGGAAGUUUAAUUAUGAUAACUUUUUGUGAUGAAAAACAAAAAUAUUCAUCAACUGAUUAAAUCCUGAAGAUCUACCUAAUAAAAAUGCUACCAAUAACCUAUUUGGAGGGAAGUGCAGCAUAUUCUGAUGAACAAGUGAUUUGCUUUUUGUUGAAUUUGGACCCUCUUUCAACAGUUUUGACACAUUUAAGUUACCUUUACUUUUAAAAGGUAUAUGCUUUAAAAAGCGCGCUGAGGUUAUGCGUAAAAAACUAUAUUUGGGGAUGGAACAGACUUAUUAUUCUUUGCACAUUACAUUGAAUUUACCAAAUUAUAUAAUUUAAUGACUUUUUUUAAAAUUUCCCUAUAAAAUAGCACGUGCUCACCCCAUGAUAUGUAGUUUAGACGCUUCAUAAUCAGAGCGAUGUGACCAAGAAUUGAUGUGCUAUUAGAUGCGUUCUCCUGUCGCGCAGCCUGCGGUGGCCCCAGAACUGGGUCCAUAUCCCUUUAAAAGAAAUCAGUGAUGCAAACAAACUGUUUUGUGCGCGCUGCUCGGGACCCGAAGUCGCGCCAAAGACAAAACUUUGAGUAACUUUGCUGACCACCUCCAAAGACGAGUUUUCUGAGGUUACUCCAUCAGGCAGCGAGGACGGCGAUUUGGAUUCGGGUCUGUUCACACAAGGAGGGAUCCACUGAAAGAGCGGCGUGGAGAUUCCUAGAAUCGGUCGACUUCAGAACAGAUAAUGUGAUGGAUCUUGAUUCAUUCCAUUACCUUUCAGCGCUAUCGCCCUGGUUGAUUUUUACACAGUCUGAUCUGAGCUGUAAGAUGCAGUAGAACGAAGAGGAGGAAAGCAACACAGAUUUGGCUGAGCAUGCUGACUGAACUAAUUGAUCCUCCACUCCCCCAUGAUCAUCACAACAGUGGCUGUUGUUUAUCCUUCUAAAGUUGAUUCUGUUUUUGAUUUUGUUUUUGUUUACUUUUCAGUGAUUUAUGAUGAAGCAUAGCAGAAAAAGUCAGAACAGCGGUCAGUAAAGGGCAUUAUUGGAAAGAAGGUGUGAACUGAUCAUUUACCCUGCAGACAGGGGUGCCUAGCAAAGGCAAAGAGCAGCCAGAGACUGCCAUUUGAAUGGGAUCUGAGAGGUAAUUUGAUCUAAAAUGGACUCCAGCCAUUCAACCCCCCACCCCGCCCACCCCUCCCAUGGCAUCCACUGUAAUUCAUUAUUCCUGGCCAGCAGAGGCAAUGAGCGAGGGCAAAGGAGAGGAGUUGGACUCUGCUCUGGUGUAAUGAAGACUCAGUAGACCUAAACGCCCUCCUUCCUUCUCUCCCUUUCUCCCUCCAUCACUUAUACAUACACGCAAUCUUUCAUUAUCUAUUAGAUAGAGCAACGCAUUAUUGCUGCUGAAGACCUUUUGGCAGAGAAAUAAGAAUGUGCAAGGAUUUUCUUCAUCCUGAAUCCAUUUUAUUGACCUUUUCCAUCAUGUAUGGGGCUCGCGAGGCCUGUGCUCUGCAAUGCAAAGAAAAUAUUCUGACCACAAUACUUUUGUCACCCCUUUAUAACGCUUUUAUUGAAAUGCAAAAAUGUAUUUUCGUCAUGCUAAAUUGAAGAUGUGUGUUUUUUGUAAGUUUUCAAUUCAAGUUUGUCACUCUCACAAGCAUUUAGGAGUUUGUUUUCUUACAUCAUAGAUGAAGAAACACUCCUUGCAUGACCUGUCAUAGCGAAACACUUGUAUUAUCAUAAAAUGUCACAGAAAUUCUGGGUUUUGAAGCUUUUUUUUUUUUUAAACCAGAAGACAUUUCAGUUUUCUGUCCUUCCACUAGGGGUCCGCAGAUGUCAUGUCCAGAAGGGCUGAAAGGGAUAAACACUGUCAUCUGGUGGUAACUAGAAAGACAAUUUCCUCAUUCUGAAAGGAGGCAAAGCUUCAUCCUUUCUACUGGGGCGGCUCUGGGAAACUUUUAAGAAACUUUUAUUUUAUAUACAAAACAAAUAUGUUCUACAUAGAUGUAAGGUGAAUGUAUGAAAAUCAGUCCACUCUACAGGAAUCCUUACAAUGUAAAACAUAAAGCGGUGAAAAUAAAGGUUGUGAGAGAACAUUAAUUCAUUUUUUUUAUAGUUGUUUGUGAACCUUUCGAGUAACUUGAAUGGAUUAACGUGGGAAAUUUAUAAAGUAGUUAUUUUUCAAAGUUAAUCCAGUAUAUCUGCUGGUAAUUCUUUAUAUAAAUGUAUGAAAUUGGUUAAAUUGUCACAUUAUUUUACAACCAGAAAUAUUAAACGGCAUUUAAAACCAUUUUAGAUACAAUGUGCUUUUUUCUUAAUCAUCUGUGUUAUUUAAUUGUUUUUUUUUGUUUGUUUAUUUUGUCAUUUUAA
Long non-coding RNA from Cyprinodon variegatus (sheepshead minnow), 2668 nucleotides. RefSeq lists it as uncharacterized. Lineage: Eukaryota; Metazoa; Chordata; Actinopteri; Cyprinodontiformes; Cyprinodontidae. The transcript has 3 exons. The record is from RefSeq and is a predicted model, not a curated record.